RNAcentral lists this ribosomal RNA (465 nucleotides) under uncultured bacterium. Its description in RNAcentral is "partial 16S ribosomal RNA". It matches the Rfam family "Bacterial small subunit ribosomal RNA", at positions 28 to 507 of the family's 1533-position model. The record is from RNAcentral.
GACGAACGCUGGCGGCGUGCUUAACACAUGCAAGUCGAACGGAAAGGCCCUGCUUGCAGGGUACUCGAGUGGCGAACGGGUGAGUAACACGUGGGUGAUCUGCCCUGCACUUCGGGAUAAGCCUGGGAAGCUGGGUCUAAUACCGGAUAGGAGCCAUUUUUAGUGUGAUGGUUGGAAAGUUUUUUCGGUGUAGGAUGAGCUCGCGGCCUAUCAGCUUGUUGGUGGGGUAAUGGCCUACCAAGGCGGCGACGGGUAGCCGGCCUGAGAGGGUGGACGGCCACAUUGGGACUGAGAUACGGCCCAGACUCCUACGGGAGGCCGCAGUGGGGACUCUUGCCCCCUGGGCGCAAGCCUGAUGCAGCGACGCCGCGUGGGGGAUGACGGCCUUCGGGUUGUAAACUCCUUUCGCUAGGGACGAAGCUUUUUGUGACGGUACCUAGCUAAGCAGCACCGGCUCCCUCCGUG